Molecule: non-coding RNA, 567 nt
Organism: Dermacentor albipictus
Lineage: Eukaryota; Metazoa; Arthropoda; Arachnida; Ixodida; Ixodidae
Source: RefSeq, a predicted model, not a curated record
AACAUGCAACACGACAUCUUUCAAAAAACCUAGGACGGCGUUGGUGUCAAACAGUGGUUCUGGACCAAGUAACAUAACAGGAUGAAGGGGGAUGUGGUGGCGGUAUGCUAAGAGAAAAUGUUUUUUUCUUUCGGAUUCGGCUUCCCGACACUCCAGUAGGACGUGGAGGACGGUCAGCCUCUCCCCGCAUCUACCACAGGUUGGAGGCUCGUUUCCCAAAGGAUUGCGAGUAAUGGUUGGCACUUGACACGCUUUCAAAGUGCUCCCCAAACAAGCACCAGAAGAAAAAAGGAACUGUUCGACAAGACGUCCUCGUGCAUCUAUUCGAGGGUCGCCCCACAGGUAGUUAUGUGCAUUGAAAUCGCCAAGAACAGCAUAGGGGUCUGGCAAUUCAUCAAUAAAGGACUGAAAUUCAUGUUUGCUUAGUUUAUAAUGUGGGGGUAUAUAAAGUGAGCAAAUAGUGAUAAGCUUGUUUAGCAGAAUAACUCGAACCGCCACUGCCUCAAGGGCCGUUCGUAGCUGCAAACGUUGACAGGCUAUGCUUUUUUGAAUUACAAUGGCGACACC